GAUGAAGAACGUAGCGAAAUGCGAUACGUAAUGUGAAUUGCAGAAUUCAGUGAAUCAUCGAAUCUUUGAACGCACAUUGCGCCUGCCAGCACUCUGGCAGGCAUGCCUGUUCGAGCGUCAUUUCAACCAUCAAGCCCUAGGCUUGCGUUGGAGCCCUGCGGCUGCCGCAGGCCCCUAAAAGCAGUGGCGGGCUCGCUAUCACACCGAGUGCAGUAGAUUACUCUUCGCUCAGGGCGUGUGGUGGGUUCCAGCCGUGAAACCCCCUACUUCUCAAGGUUGACCUCGGAUCAGGUAGUAAUACCCGCUGAACUUAAGCAUAUCAAUAAGCGGAGGA
RNAcentral lists this unclassified non-coding RNA (334 nucleotides) under soil metagenome. RNAcentral describes it as "partial contains 5.8S ribosomal RNA, internal transcribed spacer 2, and large subunit ribosomal RNA". The stretch from base 1 to 120 matches the Rfam family "5.8S ribosomal RNA", at positions 35 to 154 of the family's 154-position model. The record is from RNAcentral.